This 488-nucleotide long non-coding RNA is filed under the name Heterocephalus glaber (naked mole-rat). RNAcentral's name for it is "lncRNA (ENSHGLG00000039364.1)". The record is from RNAcentral. Lineage: Eukaryota; Metazoa; Chordata; Mammalia; Rodentia; Bathyergidae.
ACUGAUUCUUGGUGUACUACAUCUCCUUAUGCAUUCAUCUGAGUACAGAAUCUGUGUACGUAGUACCAUGAUUACCUAAAAUAUGUGGCAUGCUGCCCUUGGCCUCUGUUUACCUCAGGCUUGAGAGUGGAUUCUGGGUGCUGGGAUGUCAGCCCUGGCAUUGUGUGUACUGCAGAGACAAGACCACGCAUUAGAAACAGGCAAGUUCUGUGUGAGAAGGGCUGGCCCACGUGAGUGCAGACCCUCCGGGAGCAGCAGAGUAAGAACGCAUUUGUCUGCUACUGGAAGUUCGUCCAUUCCCAGAGCCAUACCGCCACCCCCCACCCCCCGUGGACCUCCUCUAUGGCAGACAGCACUGGACACGCUGCCUUCUGCCCAGCUGGUGGGCUCAGCGCUCGCUCCAUUGGCAUCUGGUUGGCCUGUGAGACCAGCUGCUGCAGAUCACAUCAGUGUCCCUCUGCCAUGCCACCUGGCGUUGGAGCCAGCCA